Molecule: ribosomal RNA, 253 nt
Filed under: uncultured Delftia sp.
Lineage: Bacteria; Pseudomonadati; Pseudomonadota; Betaproteobacteria; Burkholderiales; Comamonadaceae
Description: partial 16S ribosomal RNA
Rfam family: Bacterial small subunit ribosomal RNA
Source: RNAcentral
CGAACGGGUGAGUAAUACAUCGGAACGUGCCCAGUCGUGGGGGAUAACUACUCGAAAGAGUAGCUAAUACCGCAUACGAUCUGAGGAUGAAAGCGGGGGACCUUCGGGCCUCGCGCGAUUGGAGCGGCCGAUGGCAGAUUAGGUAGUUGGUGGGAUAAAAGCUUACCAAGCCGACGAUCUGUAGCUGGUCUGAGAGGACGACCAGCCACACUGGGACUGAGACACGGCCCAGACUCCUACGGGAGGCAGCAGA